GCCGAAGUGGCGGAAUUGGUAGACGCAGCGGACUCAAAAUCCGCCGCCCUUAAAAGCGUGAGGGUUCGAGUCCCUCCUUCGGCACCA
This 87-nucleotide transfer RNA is filed under the name mine drainage metagenome. RNAcentral describes it as "tRNA-Leu". It matches the Rfam family "tRNA". From Rfam's summary of the family: Transfer RNA (tRNA) molecules are approximately 80 nucleotides in length. Their secondary structure includes four short double-helical elements and three loops (D, anti-codon, and T loops). Further hydrogen bonds mediate the characteristic L-shaped molecular structure. tRNAs have two regions of fundamental functional importance: the anti-codon, which is responsible for specific mRNA codon recognition, and the 3' end, to which the tRNAs corresponding amino acid is attached (by aminoacyl-tRNA synthetases). tRNAs cope with the degeneracy of the genetic code in two manners: having more than one tRNA (with a specific anti-codon) for a particular amino acid; and 'wobble' base-pairing, i.e. permitting non-standard base-pairing at the 3rd anti-codon position. The record is from RNAcentral.